RNAcentral lists this microRNA (21 nucleotides) under Caenorhabditis briggsae. RNAcentral's name for it is "cbr-miR-253". Its record names the gene cbr-miR-253. The record is from miRBase by way of RNAcentral. Lineage: Eukaryota; Metazoa; Nematoda; Chromadorea; Rhabditida; Rhabditidae.
CACACCUCACUAACACUAACU